GAGUUUGAUCCUGGCUCAGGACAAACGCUGGUGGCGUGCCUAAUACAUGCAAGUCGAACGAGAAAGUCCCUUCGGGGGCGAGUAAAGUGGCGCACGGGUGAGUAACGCGUGGAUAACGUGCCCUCGAGUGGGGGAUAACUGAUCGAAAGAUCAGCUAAUACCGCAUAAGACCACAGUGUCUUCGGACACAGGGGUUAAAGAUUUAUCGCUUGAGGAUCGGUCCGCGUCUGAUUAGCUUGUUGGUGAGGUAAAAGCUCACCAAGGCGACAAUCGGUAGCUGGUUUGAGAGGAUGACCAGCCACAUUGGGACUGAGACACGGCCCAAACUCCUACGGGAGGCAGCAGUAGGGAAUUUUGGGCAAUGGGCGAAAGCCUGACCCAGCGACGUCGCGUGGGGGACGAAGGCCUUCGGGUUGUAAACCCCUUUUCUGGGGGAAGAGAUAGGACGGUACCUCAGGAAUAAGCAUCGGCUAACUACGUGCCAGCAGCCGCGGUAAUACGUAGGAUGCAAGCGUUGUCCGGAUUUACUGGGCGUAAAGGGUGUGUAGGCGGCAUGGCAAGUCUCAUGUGAAAUCUCCCGGCUUAACUGGGAGGGGUCAUGGGAAACUGCCAAGCUGGAGGGCAGCAGAGGA
This 632-nucleotide ribosomal RNA is filed under the name uncultured bacterium. RNAcentral describes it as "bacterial SSU rRNA". It matches the Rfam family "Bacterial small subunit ribosomal RNA", at positions 9 to 658 of the family's 1533-position model. The record is from RNAcentral.